AACGAGAGAGAAGGAGCUUGCUUCUUCGAUCGAGUGGCGAACGGGUGAGUAAUGCGUGAGGAACCUGCCUCAAAGAGGGGGACAACAGUUGGAAACGACUGCUAAUACCGCAUAAGCCCACGGUACCGCAUGGUACUGAGGGAAAAGGAUUUAUUCGCUUUAGGAUGGACUCGCGUCCGAUUAGCUAGUUGGUGAGGUAACGGCCCACCAAGGCGACGAUCGGUAGCCGGACUGAGAGGUUGAACGGCCACAUUGGGACUGAGACACGGCCCAGACUCC
This 279-nucleotide ribosomal RNA is filed under the name uncultured Oscillospiraceae bacterium. RNAcentral's name for it is "partial 16S ribosomal RNA". It matches the Rfam family "Bacterial small subunit ribosomal RNA", at positions 65 to 339 of the family's 1533-position model. Lineage: Bacteria; Bacillati; Bacillota; Clostridia; Eubacteriales; Oscillospiraceae. The record is from RNAcentral.